ACUUGGAUAACCGUAGUAAUUCUAGAGCUAAUACAUGCACAAAGUCCUGACUGCUUGCGGGAAGGAUGUAUUUAUUAGAUAUAAACCAAUGGCGGGCUUGCCCGUGUUUCGGUGAAUCAUAAUAACUUAGCGGAUCGCAGUGACCUUGAGUCGGCGAUGAAUCAUUCAAGUUUCUGCCCUAUCAGCUUUCGAUGGUAGGGUAUUGGCCUACCAUGGCGUUAACGGGUAACGGAGAAUUAGGGUUCGAUUCCGGAGAGGGAGCCUGAGAAACGGCUACCACUUCUACGGAAGGCAGCAGGCGCGUAAAUUACCCAAUCCUGACAUAGGGAGGUAGUGACAAAAAAUAACAAUACGUGACUUAACAGUCGUGUAAUUGGAAUGAGGCAAAUUUAACAUCCUUGCCGAGUAUCAAUU
RNAcentral lists this ribosomal RNA (414 nucleotides) under uncultured picoeukaryote. RNAcentral's name for it is "SSU rRNA". It matches the Rfam family "Eukaryotic small subunit ribosomal RNA", at positions 137 to 549 of the family's 1831-position model. The record is from RNAcentral.